UACUUAAUACAAAAUACAAUGGUUAUAC
Molecule: small RNA, 28 nt
Filed under: Bombyx mori (domestic silkworm)
Lineage: Eukaryota; Metazoa; Arthropoda; Insecta; Lepidoptera; Bombycidae
Description: ovarian small RNA-6208
Source: RNAcentral